CAGUCGCCGCGGGAAUACGUAGGGUGCAAGCGUUAAUCGGAAUUACUGGGCGUAAAGCGUGCGCAGGCGGUUCGUUAAGACAGAUGUGAAAUCCCCGGGCUUAACCUGGGAACUGCAUUUGUGACUGGCGAGCUAGAGUAUGGCAGAGGGGGGUAGAAUUCCACGUGUAGCAGUGAAAUGCGUAGAGAUGUGGAGGAAUACCGAUGGCGAAGGCAGCCCCCUGGGCCAAUACUGACGCUCAUGCACGAAAGCGUGGGGAGCAAACAGGAUUAGAUACCCCCGUAGUCCCUGUCUCUUAUAC
RNAcentral lists this ribosomal RNA (301 nucleotides) under uncultured bacterium. RNAcentral's name for it is "partial 16S ribosomal RNA". It matches the Rfam family "Bacterial small subunit ribosomal RNA", at positions 509 to 807 of the family's 1533-position model. The record is from RNAcentral.